Sinocyclocheilus grahami is the source of this 271-nucleotide long non-coding RNA. RefSeq lists it as uncharacterized. NCBI's taxonomy places the organism in Eukaryota, Metazoa, Chordata, Actinopteri, Cypriniformes, Cyprinidae. The record is from RefSeq and is a predicted model, not a curated record. The transcript is spliced from 3 exons.
UCCGUGAGAAUCAAAUAAAAAACACAGGAGUGAAUCACUUAUGUGACGUACUGAAGGAGUCACACUGUAAACUGGAGAGAUUGAGUCUAAAUAACUGUGGCAUUACAGAUGUUUCUUCUUUAACUCAGUCUUUGACAAACACAAAAGCACUGCAGUUUCUAAAAGAGCUUGAUCUGAGACGCAAUAUGAUUAGAGACUCAAAGCAGCAGCUCAUUGAUGUGCUACGAGACUCAAACUGUGAACUGAGUGUAGAUAGAUAGAGAUCCAUCAA